Molecule: ribosomal RNA, 301 nt
Filed under: uncultured bacterium
Lineage: Bacteria
Description: partial 16S ribosomal RNA
Rfam family: Bacterial small subunit ribosomal RNA
Source: RNAcentral
CAGUCGCCACGGGAAUACGAAGGGUGCAAGCGUUAAUCGGAAUUACUGGGCGUAAAGCGCGCGUAGGUGGUUUGUUAAGUUGGAGGUGAAAUCCCCGGGCUCAACCUGGGAACUGCCUCCAAAACUGGCUGACUAGAGUACGGUAGAGGGUGGUGGAAUUUCCUGUGUAGCGGUGAAAUGCGUAGAUAUAGGAAGGAACACCAGUGGCGAAGGCGGCCCCCUGGACAAAGACUGACGCUCAGGUGCGAAAGCGUGGGGAGCAAACAGGAUUAGAUACCCCAGUAGUCCCUGUCUCUUAUAC